Molecule: ribosomal RNA, 252 nt
Filed under: uncultured bacterium
Lineage: Bacteria
Description: partial 16S ribosomal RNA
Rfam family: Bacterial small subunit ribosomal RNA
Source: RNAcentral
UACGGAGGGUGCAAGCGUUAUCCGGAUUCACUGGGUUUAAAGGGUGCGUAGGCGGGUUGGUAAGUCCGUGGUGAAAUCUCCAAGCUUAACUUGGAAACUGCCAUGGAUACUAUCAAUCUUGAAUAUCGUGGAGGUAAGCGGAAUAUGUCAUGUAGCGGUGAAAUGCUUAGAUAUGACAUAGAACACCAAUUGCGUAGGCAGCUUACUACACGAUCAUUGACGCUGAGGCACGAAAGCGUGGGGAGCAAACAG